AUUUCGGGUAGCAAUAUCUGAAUGAGAGUGGCGCACGGGUGCGUAACACGUAUGCAAUCUGCCUCUGACUGGGGAAUAGCCUUCCGAAAGGAAGAUUAAUACCGCAUAAAAUAGUGAAGUGGCAUCAUUUUACUAUCAAAACUCUGGUGGUCAGAGAUGAGCAUGCGUCCGAUUAGCUAGUUGGCGGGGUAACGGCCCACCAAGGCAACGAUCGGUAGGGGGUCUGAGAGGAUGAUCCCCCACACUGGUACUGAGACACGGACCAGACUCCUACGGGAGGCAGCAGUAAGGAAUAUUGGGCAAUGGUCGCAAGACUGAUCCAGCCAUGCCGCGUGAAGGAUUAAGGCCCUAUGGGUUGUAAACUUCUUUUAAACGGGAAAAAACCCCUCUACGUGUAGAGGGCUGAUGGUACCGUAAGAAUAAGGAUCGGCUAACUUCGUGCCAGCAGCCGCGGUAAUACGAAGGAUUCGAGCGUUAUCCGGAUUUAUUGGGUUUAAAGGGUGCGUAGGUGGACUAAUAAGUCAGUGGUGAAAGCCCGCAGCUUAACUGCGGAACUGCCAUUGAUACUGUUAGUCUUGAGUACAGUUGAAGUGGGCGGAAUGUGUCAUGUAGCGGUGAAAUGCUUAGAUAUGACACAGAACACCGAUUGCGAAGGCAGCUCACUAAGCUGUAACUGACACUGAGGCACGAAAGCGUGGGGAGCAAACAGGAUUAGAUACCCUGGUAGUCCACGCCCUAAACGAUGAUUACUCGAUGUUGGCGAUACACUGUCAGCGUCUAAGCGAAAGCAUUAAGUAAU
RNAcentral lists this ribosomal RNA (799 nucleotides) under uncultured Flavobacteriia bacterium. RNAcentral's name for it is "bacterial SSU rRNA". It matches the Rfam family "Bacterial small subunit ribosomal RNA", at positions 69 to 868 of the family's 1533-position model. The record is from RNAcentral. Lineage: Bacteria; Pseudomonadati; Bacteroidota; Flavobacteriia.